AAUAAAUCUUAUUUUUAGGCAUUUGAUAAAUAAAUGAAAUAAAAUAAUUACAUUGUGUUUUUUUUAAAAUUUGUUUACAUUUUAAGGUAAUUUAGAAGUUAUGAAAUGUAUACACUUUGUUUACUUACUGUUUGUUGCCAUUUAUGACAAAACACUGCACACUGAGGCUCUGAUAUAUUAUUAUAACAGGAAACGUUGCUAAGGUAUUUAACACUUUGCAUUCUGAAUUAGCAUUGUUACAUUUAUGACAGAUUACAAAAAAAAAACCCCAACAACUAAUUCUACUUGUUUUAGUUGCAAAAAAACCCUGUGUCAGUCACUUUUUUACACAUGUAGUGUACACUACAGAUAGAUGAUUAUAUUUUUUAUACAAUAUCAUAUUAAGGGGUUAGUUACAAAAAUGCCUGUUGUGGUGAAGGAGAAGAACUCUCAGCAUUAGAAAUUGAUGUUUAGUAAAUACACCCCAAAUUAAUAAUAAACAUCAGAGCAAGAUUCCAUUAAAUAUGAUCUACAGCCAAUUAAAAGGGGUUCACUUUAAAUCCUACUGCCCCUUUAAUAUUCUAUAUUUAGCACUAGUUUCAGGACACAAACUUGAUUUAUACACAGCAUUUCAUUACAUAGUUUCAUAAACCAAGUGGCUCUAGAUGGGUCACAGAGUAAAGUUAGAAAUGCUAAUGAAAGGAUAAACAAAGUCCUAGUUUUGUUUUGGUAAAACCCCCUUUUCCCAAACUCUUAGUGUUUGUGAUCAUGCCAGCACAGACUAAAUCAUUAAGACAUUUAUAAAUGAGAAAAUUAUUCAAGUAAAAGCUAAACAUAGAUCUAAACAAAACAGUUUUUUAAUUAAACUAAUUUUUCCAUGAGAAAUUUUUUUUUAUAUUUACCAAUGUUGAUUUGCUUGAGAAAAUGAC
Non-coding RNA from Pelobates cultripes (western spadefoot toad), 908 nucleotides. The record is from the annotation of a GenBank genome assembly. NCBI's taxonomy places the organism in Eukaryota, Metazoa, Chordata, Amphibia, Anura, Pelobatidae.